GAUGAACGCUGGCGGCGUGCCUAAUACAUGCAAGUCGAGCGAACAGACGAGGAGCUUGCUCCUCUGACGUUAGCGGCGGACGGGUGAGUAACACGUGGAUAACCUACCUAUAAGACUGGGAUAACUUCGGGAAACCGGAGCUAAUACCGGAUAAUAUAUUGAACCGCAUGGUUCAAUAGUGAAAGACGGUUUUGCUGUCAGUGAUAGAUGGAUCCGCGCUGCAUUAGCUAGUUGGUAGGGUAACGGCUUACCAAGGCAACGACGCGUAGCCGACAUGAGAGGGUGACCGGGCAAAUGGGGACUGAGAGAGGGCCCAGACUGCUACGGGAGGCAGGAGUGGGGAAUAUUGCACAAUGGGCGGAAGCCAGAUACAGCAACGCCGCGUGCGGGAUGACGGCCUUCGGGUUGUAAACCGAUUUCGCCUGUGACGAAGCGUGAGUGACGGUAAUGGGUAAAGAAGCACCGGCUAACUACGUG
Molecule: ribosomal RNA, 477 nt
Filed under: uncultured bacterium
Lineage: Bacteria
Description: partial 16S ribosomal RNA
Rfam family: Bacterial small subunit ribosomal RNA
Source: RNAcentral